AUGUCCAAGAUACUCUGCACAAAGAAAUACAAAGUCUUCAUCAAAAGCCUAGGAUCCAUAGUCAAACCACUCUGCUUGUGUGACCUUCAGCAAGGCACUACCAUGGCCCUUGCUGGGGCUCAGAACCUGUCAUCCCAAAAUAUGACAUCUUGUUCUGCUGAGUGCUUUCAAUGUAAGGAAAUUGGAAGGGUCUCAGAAGCAAGAAGUACUUCUUCACAGCUGAUCCUGCAUUGAAUCCAAGCAUAAAACUGUAAAGUCUUCCCUGAGUCUUCGGGCUUUCAUUUCUGAAGUCUCCUGUGUCGUGUUCUACAUGUCAUAACAAAUGAAAAUUUGCUAUGCGUUUAUCUUGCUCACCUGUCUUUUGUUGUGGGACUGUCAGGUAAGACCCUUGCAAUGUGUGGGGAAAAGAUAUUACCUUUUCACUUCUAUAGUCUCAAGACCUAGCACCAUAUCUACUACAUGUUGAAUUAAUGAAGUUGGAUGAUUGAAUGACUAUUAUCCCAAUCUUUGCCACUGAUUUGGCUAUUUAAGCAGAUAAUAUUUUCCUCCUAAAUAUUCCCCCCAUGCCAUACUGAAAGUCACAGAAUAUCAUUUUUGCAGAAGAAUAGCUUUCCUCAGUCAAGGCUAAAUAAGGAAGAGGAAUCGACAGCAAAUACCUCCCAUUCAAGUUAGAAUAAACAUGAUUUUAUCUUAGCCACAUAAAUGUUCAGACCAGAGGUUUCCAUUUAGAAGAAGCAAAUCAUGACAAGUUCAAAAAACAUUCUUGUUAACACACUCAAAAAUUAUAAUCAAAAUUUGGGCAUCACCUGAAAUCAUAAACUUUUUAAACAAAUAGAAGGAUAUGAGGAUAAGGGGAUGUUUCUAAUUAGAUUCACUUUUCUAAAAUAUUUCACUUACCUUAUUAGUCUGAUGCUCACAGGCAUAAGUUCACUGUGUGAUUUGUGAUAACAUACAUGGGUCUACAGAAUUCAUAGCACUGCAGACUUGGGAAGAGUCUACAUAUCCAGUGCAUGGCCCAGAGCAGCAGUGUUUAUUUCAGCUAGUAACUAACAUGAUAAAUGAUGUGCCACCCUCUGUCACUACUGGCCGUUAGAAAUGCUGGCUGACCAUCAGCCCAGAGCUCAAUUCCCACAGGUUCCCUGCCAAACUAUUUGAAUAAACCUAGGCGAGUUUACAAUUUCUGCUUUGGCUGAAAAAUAUCUUUCACUUGGCAGUGUACGUUUCAGAAUGUUUGAGGGUGAACUGUUGGUUUCUAUGACUAAAUUAGUCAUUUUAGGUCUUUUUAAAACACCUUUCUUGAAGUAUAAUUCGCAUACCAUAUGAUUUUCCCCUUGCUUUCAGUAUAUUUACAGAGUCGUAUAAUCAUCACCACAACCAAUUUUCUAAUAUUUGCAUUAUUCCAAAAAAAAAACAACAAAACAAAACUCUGUACCCCAAGUCAUCCCACCUCACCUAGCCCUACGUAAGCACUAGUGAUUCUCCUUCCCUGCUAGGUGGAGCUGUUUUCAAUGUCAUUUGUUUGUUUAUUUGUUGGUGACAUGGCCAGUCUAUUUUAAUGAAGUCUGUUUCCCUGCAGUGUCUCUCCUAAGGAGGGCACAACUUUGGACAUGCAUAGAUACUUGGGACAACAGUGGUUUUAGCAGAGCUCUCUGUCCUUUUUCCUGAUCUCUCUGUUAAGCUGCCUGUCUUACUUGAUAUCACAUCCACCUGUGGGCCUACUGCUUAUCAGCUGAUUGCUCUGUUGUUUUUGACAAUGCCCUGGGGCAUAAAUUGCUCUUUAGUAUGAACUGAUGAAAUCCAUGUAGUAGUCGUUUUGUUUCUUGUUUUGAUUUUGUUUUAAGACACAGUCUUGCUCAGUCCCCCAGGCUGGAGUGUUGUGGGGUGAUCUCAGGUCACUGCAACCUCCUCCUCCUGGGUUCAAGAGAUUCCUCUGCCUCAGCCCCGUGAGUAGCUGGAAUUACAGGUGUCUACCACCAUGCCCAGCUAAUUUUGGUAUUCUUAGUAGAGAUGGGGUUUCACCAUGUUGGCCAGGCUGGUCUUGAACUCCUGACCUCAGGUGAUCCACCCACGUUGGCCUCCCAAAGUGCUGGGAUUACAGGUGUGAGUCACUGAGCCCAGCAGCAGUAGUCCUUUGUAAGGACAAUUUUUGAGUUUUAUCACAACCCCAGGAGGUUACUUACUAUCUUUUUCUCUUACUCUGUCUGGCGAACUAGGUGGCCUAUGGUUAAACUUUUUGCUAUCACUUAAAAAGAGCUAUUUGUUUUCACAAAUACCCUUAGACUUGAACUUCACCAUAUUCUGUUUAAAAUAAAAUCAAUUCCUUUGGGGGCAUUCAGAAGACUCUUUUCCUGUGGAUUCUCCUUUCAUUUGGUUAAGAUGUCUCAACCCUACUCCAGGCACUGGAUGGAGGAGUUAGCCUCUGGUCCUCUGGACUUUUUGUUUUGACUCUCCUGGUGUGGAAUGCUACCCAGAGAUUGAGUUCAUGUCAGGAAAAUUGGAACCUCAAUAUUCUUGCCAGCCAAGCACAGAGUAGAUACUCCAUCCUUAGUGGGAGCUCGGGGGAGGCAGAUAGCCACCAACCCUUUGGUGACAUGCAUCUGGAAUAUAUCCUCUUCGUGGAGUUGGAGAGAAUGAAAAAUGUUGGUGGCCUCCCCCUCCCAAUAAAAUAUGGCAACUCUUGAUCAGAAAUUGAAAAGAGAAGGAGCUCAUCUUUUUGACAAUUUGGAUUGAAGUUUCUGUUAGGCUGAGCUUAGGGUAAAGAGGAAGAGUGUAGAAAGUGCUCAAAUGUUGCAGACUCUCAUUGUUCUGUGUUUUAGUAGAUCUUCUUGAAGAGAUGUUUCUUCAUUUGCUGUAUGCCAUUUGGACAAUUUCCACAGGCUAGAUUUGGAGGCAAAAAAAGUAAAACUGUUGUUCACUGGCUUUGCUUGUCUUGUUGCUGGAGAGUGGGAAACAGACCUUGUAAUGAUGUCAUCUCAGAAGUGGAACUCUGAUCCCUUUCAAGUUUUUUUCUUGAGCAUUCCUCUUUCUUGUUUGAACUCUAUGAAUAACUAAUGUUGAAACCAAUGGCAAGGAAAAUUCGGUGUUUCUUUAAAGCCAUUUAAGUUGCAAUUAAGUUACUCUAUUAUUGCUGUUUUACUGCUGGAUAAAAAAUUUACUAAAGAAUUUUUAAUAAAUAGGUAAAUAAGGAAUUUUAAAAGAAAAUUCACAUAAAUAAAAAUAUACUCAUGUAAUAAAC
This 3235-nucleotide long non-coding RNA is filed under the name Callithrix jacchus (white-tufted-ear marmoset). RNAcentral's name for it is "lncRNA (ENSCJAG00000080081.1)". The record is from RNAcentral. Lineage: Eukaryota; Metazoa; Chordata; Mammalia; Primates; Cebidae.